This 76-nucleotide transfer RNA is filed under the name Acholeplasmataceae bacterium. RNAcentral describes it as "tRNA-His". It matches the Rfam family "tRNA". Rfam says of the family: Transfer RNA (tRNA) molecules are approximately 80 nucleotides in length. The record is from RNAcentral. RNAcentral also lists the same sequence under 1 other name. Lineage: Bacteria; Bacillati; Mycoplasmatota; Mollicutes; Acholeplasmatales; Acholeplasmataceae.
GCGGCCGUGGCGAAGCGGUUAACGCAUCGGAUUGUGGCUCCGACACUGGAGGGUUCAACUCCCUUCGGCCGCCCCA